RNAcentral lists this ribosomal RNA (463 nucleotides) under uncultured bacterium. Its description in RNAcentral is "partial 16S ribosomal RNA". It matches the Rfam family "Bacterial small subunit ribosomal RNA", at positions 330 to 792 of the family's 1533-position model. The record is from RNAcentral.
ACCAGACUCCUACGGGAGGCAGCAGUGGGGAAUAUUGCACAAUGGGGGAAACCCUGAUGCAGCGACGCCGCGUGAGUGAAGAAGUAUUUCGGUAUGUAAAGCUCUCUCAGCAGGGAAGAAAAACCGACCAUAGGGCCGCUAGACGGUACCUGAUUAAGAAGCCCCGGCUAACUACGUGCCAGCAGCCGCGGUAAUACGUAGGGGGCAAGCGUUAUCCGGAUUUACUGGGUGUAAAGGGAGCGUAGACGGCAGCGCAAGUCUGAAGUGAAAUGCCGGGGCUUAACCCCGGAACUGCUUUGGAAACUGAGCAGCUAGAGUGCAGGAGAGGUAGGUGGAAUUCCUAGUGUAGCGGUGAAAUGCGUAGAUAUUAGGAGGAACACCAGUGGCGAAGGCGGCUUACUGGACUGUAACUGACGUUGAGGCUCGAAAGCGUGGGGAGCAAACAGGAUUAGAUACCCCAGUA